AUGGAGACACCACGGUCGCCGCGCCAUGGACCAGCUCCGCCUCCAUCCCCUCCUUUUCCCUCCCCCGUGUGGGACCUUGGCGCAAGAGACUCUGGAUGGAGUAACGCCGGCCGGAUACCAGUCCCAGGGCCAUGUGGUGCUGCUAGCAGAAUCGCGACGAGGGGAGGCGCAGAAAGAGGCGCGGCUACGGAUCCCUCGCGCGGGGGAGAGAGCGAGCGAGACAUGGAGGAGGAAAUUACAAAAAAAAAACCGUAUCUGUGGACCUUAGAAAAAAAACAUGUCAUUACUUUUUGCAAAAACCAUAUGCGCUUCGUUUGGAUGUUUGUAUUCGGAGCCUUGGCAUUGCAUUGGGUUGAAUACCAAUAUCACAAGAUAUUGGCAUUUAGAUUGAAUGCCAAUAUUUUUGUUUGGAUGUUUAGGUAUUCAGAACACAAAUCUGAUAUUGAGGUUGAAUGCUAG
Molecule: ribosomal RNA, 459 nt
Filed under: Triticum aestivum (bread wheat)
Lineage: Eukaryota; Viridiplantae; Streptophyta; Magnoliopsida; Poales; Poaceae
Description: partial small subunit ribosomal RNA
Source: RNAcentral